RNAcentral lists this ribosomal RNA (816 nucleotides) under uncultured bacterium. Its description in RNAcentral is "bacterial SSU rRNA". It matches the Rfam family "Bacterial small subunit ribosomal RNA", at positions 76 to 890 of the family's 1533-position model. The record is from RNAcentral.
GGGGCAACCCCUCGAGAGUGGCGAACGGGUGAGUAAUAUAUCGGAACGUGCCCAGUCGUGGGGGAUAACGUAGCGAAAGUUACGCUAAUACCGCAUACGAUCUACGGAUGAAAGCGGGGGAUCGCAAGACCUCGCGCGAUUGGAGCGGCCGAUAUCAGAUUAGGUAGUUGGUAGGGUAAAGGCCUACCAAGCCAACGAUCUGUAGCUGGUCUGAGAGGACGACCAGCCACACUGGAACUGAGACACGGUCCAGACUCCUACGGGAGGCAGCAGUGGGGAAUUUUGGACAAUGGGCGAAAGCCUGAUCCAGCCAUUCCGCGUGCAGGAUGAAGGCCCUCGGGUUGUAAACUGCUUUUGUACAGAACGAGAAGGUUUCUAUUAAUACUAGGAGCUCAUGACGGUACUGUAAGAAUAAGCACCGGCUAACUACGUGCCAGCAGCCGCGGUAAUACGUAGGGUGCAAGCGUUAAUCGGAAUUACUGGGCGUAAAGCGUGCGCAGGCGGUUAUAUAAGUCAGAUGUGAAAUCCCCGGGCUCAACCUGGGAACUGCAUUUGAGACUGUAUAGCUAGAGUACGGUAGAGGGGGAUGGAAUUCCGCGUGUAGCAGUGAAAUGCGUAGAUAUGCGGAGGAACACCGAUGGCGAAGGCAAUCCCCUGGACCUGUACUGACGCUCAUGCACGAAAGCGUGGGGAGCAAACAGGAUUAGAUACCCUGGUGGUCCACGCCCUAAACGAUGCUGACUAGUUGUUCGGGGAAUUUAUUCCUGAGUAACGUANCUAACGCGUGAAGUCANNCGCCUGNGGAGUACGGUCGCA